AAUACACCCUACGCAAAAGAACAGGAGAGAAAAGGACGGAGAUAGACCUCUCUCUCAGAUCCGAAAAUCAUAAGAUUGGUCGAAGAGUCUUUCCGAAAGCUGAAAAUGUGCGUCAAGUUUUUCAGUGAAAAUACCUAAAACACCGCUUAAAACAUGUUUAAAAACAUUUUUAAAAUCAAAUCAAUUUAUAACAAUGCAUUACGUUCAGGUUACAACAAUUUUCAAUGCAAUGUUGAACAUUUUGUACUGCGAUGAGGAUCAACAGAACUUUCACGAUAACCCCAUACGAAAGAAGCGAGAGAGAAGGACGGAGAAGGAUCUGUCAAACGUGUUUGUUAGGUUGGAAAGCUGGUCGCAUGCUGAUGAUCGCGCUUCUGGUAAGUUUGCCAAAAAUAUGCAUAAUUUUAACACAUUUUGUUGGUUUUCCAUUCUUUACAGAUCAUUUAUCAGAUACAGCAGCAGAGCCCGAACGAUUCGUCGUGAUCUGGUGAGUAAUUAAACUGAUAUUUGGACGAUCAAGUCCGAUGCCGUACCAUUGCCUCUUUCCAGAAUGUUCCGGUACAUGCAUCGCCAGGAGAUCGGAAAACGCUGUGAAAACGUUUUACGCCCUCCGAGAGCUGCGAGCCGUGAGUAAGCGGUAUGUGUGAAUGUGUGCCGUCCAUGCGAACGGCCCGUCUAUGGGAACGUACUUUUCGGUCCUUAUACGGCCAACGAAGGAAGGAAGCAUUGUAAGGAUGAGGUAUGUUUGGUGCUAGUGUUAUGUGAUUGAGUUUUAAAAAAGUGUGAAUAAAUAUUAUCAAAAAUGAAA
Molecule: long non-coding RNA, 808 nt
Organism: Anopheles aquasalis
Lineage: Eukaryota; Metazoa; Arthropoda; Insecta; Diptera; Culicidae
Source: RefSeq, a predicted model, not a curated record